GAUGAACGCUGGCGGCGUGCCUAAUACAUGCAAGUCGAGCGAACGGAUGAGAAGCUUGCUCCUCUGACGUUAGCGGCGGACGGGUGAGUAACACGUGGAUAACCUACCUAUAAGACUGGGAUAACUUCGGGAAACCGGAGCUAAUACCGGAUAAUAUUUUGAACCGCAUGGUUCAAUAGUGAAAGACGGUCUUGCUGUCACUUAUAGAUGGAUCCGCGCUGCAUUAGCUAGUUGGUAAGGUAACGGCUUACCAAGGCAACGAUGCAUAGCCGACCUGAGAGGGUGAUCGGCCACACUGGAACUGAGACACGGUCCAGACUCCUACGGGAGGCAGCAGUAGGGAAUCUUCCGCAAUGGGCGAAAGCCUGACGGAGCAACGCCGCGUGAGUGAUGAAGGUCUUCGGAUCGUAAAACUCUGUUAUUAGGGAAGAACAAAUGUGUAAGUAACUAUGCACGUCUUGACGGUACCUAAUCAGAAAGCCACGGCUAACUACGUG
Molecule: ribosomal RNA, 497 nt
Filed under: uncultured bacterium
Lineage: Bacteria
Description: partial 16S ribosomal RNA
Rfam family: Bacterial small subunit ribosomal RNA
Source: RNAcentral